GGGGAGGACACAGAAUUCUGAAAUGUGGAACGAAGAAUGCCAUGGGAAUCAAGGUUUGAUUGCGUCACAGAUGUUUUUUUCAUUUAGAAGCUUGGACAGACAGUCAGAGACAUCGGAUUUGUGUCAGCCUGGCUGAAGAGGGACUGGACAAAAGGCAAGCUCCUGUACUUGAAGUUUAACGAGGUGGCCCGUUUCAAGCAAGGUCCCGGUGGACAACGAUCACAAGUCAAAGACGUCAAUGGAGUUGACAGUAAUUGGCAUCAGUUCAUCAGUCUUGCUCUGAGACUAGACAAGGACACGUGAAGUGUGGAAAUAAUAACAAACGGAUGAGACUGAUGGAAUAGGAAAGAAAAAGGAAGUUAAGUCAUGGCAGGUAAUAAUGAA
This is a non-coding RNA of Chiloscyllium plagiosum (whitespotted bambooshark), 384 nucleotides long. The record is from RefSeq and is a predicted model, not a curated record. NCBI's taxonomy places the organism in Eukaryota, Metazoa, Chordata, Chondrichthyes, Orectolobiformes, Hemiscylliidae.